UCCCUGGUGGACUAGUGGCUAGCAUAAAGCGCUCUCAUUGCCACGGUUCAGGUUCAAUUCACGGCCAGGGAA
Non-coding RNA from Ameiurus melas (black bullhead), 72 nucleotides. NCBI's taxonomy places the organism in Eukaryota, Metazoa, Chordata, Actinopteri, Siluriformes, Ictaluridae. The record is from the annotation of a GenBank genome assembly.